CCUUGGAGAGCGCUGAAUUCCCGUUAGGGAAGCGGGGGACCCUUUCCGUUGGGGCUAAUCUCGCCUGCGCGAGUAGGGCUAUCUUUCGGCCCGCGCCCGUCAGCUAACCUCGUAAGCGUGGAAAGAGAGGGAAG
This 134-nucleotide small RNA is filed under the name Clostridia bacterium. RNAcentral's name for it is "c-di-AMP sequence". It matches the Rfam family "c-di-AMP riboswitch aptamer (ydaO/yuaA leader)". From Rfam's summary of the family: This family represents a conserved RNA structure found upstream of the ydaO and yuaA genes in Bacillus subtilis and related genes in other bacteria. The ydaO/yuaA element is thought to act as a genetic "off" switch for the ydaO and yuaA genes in its native state. Lineage: Bacteria; Bacillati; Bacillota; Clostridia. The record is from RNAcentral.